This 2722-nucleotide ribosomal RNA is filed under the name Vibrio parahaemolyticus. Its description in RNAcentral is "partial 23S ribosomal RNA". It matches the Rfam family "Bacterial large subunit ribosomal RNA". The record is from RNAcentral. Lineage: Bacteria; Pseudomonadati; Pseudomonadota; Gammaproteobacteria; Vibrionales; Vibrionaceae.
AACUGAAACAUCUAAGUACCCCGAGGAAAAGAAAUCAACCGAGAUUCCGAAAGUAGCGGCGAGCGAAAUUGGACUAGCCCUUAAGCUUUACACGCGUUAGACGAACGGUCUGGAAAGUCCGACGAUACAGGGUGAUAGUCCCGUAGUUGACGACGUGUGUUCAGUGAAAUCGAGUAGGGCGGGACACGUGAUAUCCUGUCUGAAUAUGGGGGGACCAUCCUCCAAGGCUAAAUACUACUGACUGACCGAUAGUGAACCAGUACCGUGAGGGAAAGGCGAAAAGAACCCCUGUGAGGGGAGUGAAAUAGAACCUGAAACCGUGUACGUACAAGCAGUAGGAGCAGGCUUUGUCCUGUGACUGCGUACCUUUUGUAUAAUGGGUCAGCGACUUAUAUUCAGUGGCAAGGUUAACCAUCUAGGGGAGCCGUAGGGAAACCGAGUCUUAACUGGGCGUUCAGUCUCUGGAUAUAGACCCGAAACCAGGUGAUCUAGCCAUGGGCAGGUUGAAGGUUGAGUAACAUCAACUGGAGGACCGAACCGACUAAUGUUGAAAAAUUAGCGGAUGACUUGUGGCUAGGGGUGAAAGGCCAAUCAAACCUGGAGAUAGCUGGUUCUCCCCGAAAGCUAUUUAGGUAGCGCCUCGGACGAAUACUACUGGGGGUAGAGCACUGUUAAGGCUAGGGGGUCAUCCCGACUUACCAACCCUUUGCAAACUCCGAAUACCAGUAAGUACUAUCCGGGAGACACACGGCGGGUGCUAACGUCCGUCGUGGAGAGGGAAACAACCCAGACCGCCAGCUAAGGUCCCAAAUUACUACUAAGUGGGAAACGAUGUGGGAAGGCUCAGACAGCCAGGAUGUUGGCUUAGAAGCAGCCAUCAUUUAAAGAAAGCGUAAUAGCUCACUGGUCGAGUCGGCCUGCGCGGAAGAUGUAACGGGGCUAAGUAGUAAACCGAAGCUGCGGCAAUAUACUUUUGUAUAUUGGGUAGGGGAGCGUUCUGUAAGCGGUUGAAGGUGUGUGGUAACGCAUGCUGGACGUAUCAGAAGUGCGAAUGCUGACAUGAGUAACGAUAAAGGGGGUGAAAAACCUCCUCGCCGGAAGACCAAGGGUUCCUGUCCAACGUUAAUCGGGGCAGGGUAAGUCGACCCCUAAGGCGAGGCCGAAAGGCGUAGUCGAUGGGAAACGGGUUAAUAUUCCCGUACUUCUUACAAUUGCGAUGGGGGGACGGAGAAGGCUAGGUGGGCCUGGCGACGGUUGUCCAGGUUCAAGUGCGUAGGCUUAAGAGUUAGGUAAAUCCGGCUCUUUCUAAGGCUGAGACACGACGUCGAGCACCUACGGGUGUGAAGUCAUUGAUGCCAUGCUUCCAGGAAAAGCCUCUAAGCUUCAGAUUGUAAGGAAUCGUACCCCAAACCGACACAGGUGGUCGGGUAGAGAAUACCAAGGCGCUUGAGAGAACUCGGGUGAAGGAACUAGGCAAAAUGGUACCGUAACUUCGGGAGAAGGUACGCUCUUGAUGGUGAAGUCCCUUGCGGAUGGAGCUGACGAGAGUCGCAGAUACCAGGUGGCUGCAACUGUUUAUUAAAAACACAGCACUGUGCAAAAUCGUAAGAUGACGUAUACGGUGUGACGCCUGCCCGGUGCCGGAAGGUUAAUUGAUGGGGUUAGACUUCGGUCGAAGCUCUUGAUCGAAGCCCCGGUAAACGGCGGCCGUAACUAUAACGGUCCUAAGGUAGCGAAAUUCCUUGUCGGGUAAGUUCCGACCUGCACGAAUGGCGUAAUGAUGGCCACGCUGUCUCCACCCGAGACUCAGUGAAAUUGAAAUCGCUGUGAAGAUGCAGUGUACCCGCGGCUAGACGGAAAGACCCCGUGAACCUUUACUACAGCUUGGCACUGAACAUUGACCCUACAUGUGUAGGAUAGGUGGGAGGCUUUGAAGCACGUACGCCAGUAUGUGUGGAGCCGUCCUUGAAAUACCACCCUUGUAGUGUUGAUGUUCUAACGUCGACCCCUUAUCGGGGUUGCGGACAGUGCCUGGUGGGUAGUUUGACUGGGGCGGUCUCCUCCCAAAGAGUAACGGAGGAGCACGAAGGUGGGCUAAUCACGGUUGGACAUCGUGAGGUUAGUGCAAUGGCAUAAGCCCGCUUGACUGCGAGAAUGACAAUUCGAGCAGGUGCGAAAGCAGGUCAUAGUGAUCCGGUGGUUCUGAAUGGAAGGGCCAUCGCUCAACGGAUAAAAGGUACUCCGGGGAUAACAGGCUGAUACCGCCCAAGAGUUCAUAUCGACGGCGGUGUUUGGCACCUCGAUGUCGGCUCAUCACAUCCUGGGGCUGAAGUCGGUCCCAAGGGUAUGGCUGUUCGCCAUUUAAAGUGGUACGCGAGCUGGGUUUAGAACGUCGUGAGACAGUUCGGUCCCUAUCUGCCGUGGGCGUUGGAAGAUUGAAGGGGGCUGCUCCUAGUACGAGAGGACCGGAGUGGACGAACCUCUGGUGUUCGGGUUGUGUCGCCAGACGCAUUGCCCGGUAGCUAAGUUCGGAAUCGAUAACCGCUGAAAGCAUCUAAGCGGGAAGCGAGCCCUGAGAUGAGUCUUCCCUGAUACUUUAAGUAUCCUAAAGGGUUGUCGGAGACUACGACGUUGAUAGGUCAGGUGUGUAAGUGCUGUGAGGCAUUGAGCUAACUGAUACUAAUUGCCCGUGAGGCUUAACCAUACAACACCCAAGGGGUUU